ACCCAGCUGACUAGUCUCAAAUAGGACGAAAUGCUCAUCCUAGAU
This is a non-coding RNA of Schistosoma mattheei, 45 nucleotides long. The record is from Rfam. NCBI's taxonomy places the organism in Eukaryota, Metazoa, Platyhelminthes, Trematoda, Strigeidida, Schistosomatidae.